This 245-nucleotide ribosomal RNA is filed under the name uncultured bacterium. Its description in RNAcentral is "partial small subunit ribosomal RNA". It matches the Rfam family "Bacterial small subunit ribosomal RNA", at positions 26 to 285 of the family's 1533-position model. The record is from RNAcentral.
AGGAUCAACGCUGGCGGCGUGCCUAACACAUGCAAGUCGAACGAGAAAGUGGAGCAAUCCAUGAGUAAAGUGGCGACCGGGUGAGUAACACGUGACUAACCUACCUUCGAGUGGGGGAUAACCUCGGGAAACCGAGGCUAAUACCGCAUAACAUCGCAAGAUCAAAGCAGCAAUGCGCUGGAAGAGGGGGUCGCGGCUGAUUAGCUAGUUGGCGGGGUAACGGCCCACCAAGGCGAAGAUCGGUA